This 713-nucleotide ribosomal RNA is filed under the name uncultured Streptococcus sp. RNAcentral's name for it is "bacterial SSU rRNA". It matches the Rfam family "Bacterial small subunit ribosomal RNA", at positions 28 to 722 of the family's 1533-position model. The record is from RNAcentral. Lineage: Bacteria; Bacillati; Bacillota; Bacilli; Lactobacillales; Streptococcaceae.
GACGAACGCUGGCGGCGUGCCUAAUACAUGCAAGUAGAACGCUGAAGGAGGAGCUUGCUUCUCCGGAUGAGUUGCGAACGGGUGAGUAACGCGUAGGUAACCUGCCUGGUAGCGGGGGAUAACUAUUGGAAACGAUAGCUAAUACCGCAUAAGAGUAGAUGUUGCAUGACAUUUGCUUAAAAGGUGCAAAUGCAUCACUACCAGAUGGACCUGCGUUGUAUUAGCUAGUUGGUGGGGUAACGGCUCACCAAGGCGACGAUACAUAGCCGACCUGAGAGGGUGAUCGGCCACACUGGGACUGAGACACGGCCCAGACUCCUACGGGAGGCAGCAGUAGGGAAUCUUCGGCAAUGGACGGAAGUCUGACCGAGCAACGCCGCGUGAGUGAAGAAGGUUUUCGGAUCGUAAAGCUCUGUUGUAAGAGAAGAACGAGUGUGAGAGUGGAAAGUUCACACUGUGACGGUAUCUUACCAGAAAGGGACGGCUAACUACGUGCCAGCAGCCGCGGUAAUACGUAGGUCCCGAGCGUUGUCCGGAUUUAUUGGGCGUAAAGCGAGCGCAGGCGGUUAGAUAAGUCUGAAGUUAAAGGCUGUGGCUUAACCAUAGUACGCUUUGGAAAACUGUUUAACUUUGAGUGCAAGAGGGGGAGAGUGGAAUUUCAUGUGUUUCGGUGAAAUGCGUAGAUAAUUGGAAGGAACACCGGGGGCGGAGGC